Molecule: non-coding RNA, 553 nt
Organism: Aegilops tauschii subsp. strangulata
Lineage: Eukaryota; Viridiplantae; Streptophyta; Magnoliopsida; Poales; Poaceae
Source: RefSeq, a predicted model, not a curated record
CCUCAUCACCGUUUUGCUGAAGUUACACUGGCCGAGGCUGUACUGUCUGGAUCCAGUCAGGCACCCAGACCAUCGGGUUUUGGCCACGAGCUGGGACCACUGGGAAGCGGCCCUCCACGCGGACCAUGAGACCCAUGCCAAGGCCGUGAUCACUACUUUCUGGGUGAGUUCUCUUCAGAAGCACAAGUCCAUUCUAGUUUCAUGAAUGAUUUAACUCAUGGCUUCUUCCAUUCUUGUUUCAUGCAUGAUUGUAGAAAUUCUAUCGAGUUCUUCCAGAGCACAAGGCCAGAGCCAACCAGAUCGUGCUGCGCCAAUGCAAGAAGAAGGCCCGCCAGAUGCAGUACGAGGUGCGCUAUGUGGCCAUCUCGACAUACUAUCACGAUGCUUUUGGUGUGAAGAUGACCAAGGAAGAAGCGCGGAGGAUGGGCAUUACCUUGGAGAGGCACGAGUACUUGGCGGUGUGUCCAAAUUGGUGUUAUGGAAAAGACGACUCCUGGGCGGCAUUGGUGGAUCUUUGGUGUGAUAAGGAUGGAGCCUGGGCGGCUACGAGCAU